RNAcentral lists this ribosomal RNA (836 nucleotides) under uncultured bacterium. RNAcentral describes it as "bacterial SSU rRNA". It matches the Rfam family "Bacterial small subunit ribosomal RNA", at positions 54 to 904 of the family's 1533-position model. The record is from RNAcentral.
CAUGCAAGUCGAACGAGAGAGAAGGAGCUUGCUUCUUCGAUCGAGUGGCGAACGGGUGAGUAACGCGUGAGGAACCUGCCUCAAAGAGGGGGACAACAGUUGGAAACGACUGCUAAUACCGCAUAAGCCCACGGGUCGGCAUCGACCUGAGGGAAAAGGAGUGAUCCGCUUUGAGAUGGCCUCGCGUCCGAUUAGCUAGUUGGUGAGGUAAUGGCCACCAAGGCGACGAUCGGUAGCCGGACUGAGAGGUUGAACGGCCACAUUGGGACUGAGACACGGCCCAGACUCCUACGGGAGGCAGCAGUGGGGAAUAUUGCACAAUGGGGGAAACCCUGAUGCAGCGACGCCGCGUGGAGGAAGAAGGUCUUCGGAUUGUAAACUCCUGUUGUUGAGGAAGAUAAUGACGGUACUCAACAAGGAAGUGACGGCUAACUACGUGCCAGCAGCCGCGGUAAAACGUAGGUCACAAGCGUUGUCCGGAAUUACUGGGUGUAAAGGGAGCGCAGGCGGGAAGACAAGUUGGAAGUGAAAUCUAUGGGCUCAACCCAUAAACUGCUUUCAAAACUGUUUUUCUUGAGUAGUGCAGAGGUAGGCGGAAUUCCCGGUGUAGCGGUGGAAUGCGUAGAUAUCGGGAGGAACACCAGUGGCGAAGGCGGCCUACUGGGCACCAACUGACGCUGAGGCUCGAAAGUGUGGGUAGCAAACAGGAUUAGAUACCCUGGUAGUCCACACCGUAAACGAUGAUUACUAGGUGUUGGAGGAUUGACCCCUUCAGUGCCGCAGUUAACACAAUAAGUAAUCCACCUGGGGAGUACGACCGCAAGGUUGAAACUCAA